UCAUGCAAGUCGAAGCGGACAGAAGGGAGCUUGCUCCCGGAUGUUAGCGGCGGACGGGUGAGUAACACGUGGGUAACCUGCCUGUAAGACUGGGAUAACUCCGGGAAACCGGAGCUAAUACCGGAUAGUUCCUUGAACCGCAUGGUUCAAGGAUGAAAGACGGUUUCGGCUGUCACUUACAGAUGGACCCGCGGCGCAUUAGCUAGUUGGUGAGGUAACGGCUCACCAAGGCGACGAUGCGUAGCCGACCUGAGAGGGUGAUCGGCCACACUGGGACUGAGACACGGCCCAGACUCCUACGGGAGGCAGCAGUAGGGAAUCUUCCGCAAUGGACGAAAGUCUGACGGAGCAACGCCGCGUGAGUGAUGAAGGUUUUCGGAUCGUAAAGCUCUGUUGUUAGGGAAGAACAAGUGCAAGAGUAACUGCUUGCACCUUGACGGUACCUAACCAGAAAGCCACGGCUAACUACGUGCCAGCAGCCGCGGUAAUACGUAGGUGGCAAGCGUUGUCCGGAAUUAUUGGGCGUAAAGGGCUCGCAGGCGGUUUCUUAAGUCUGAUGUGAAAGCCCCCGGCUCAACCGGGGAGGGUCAUUGGAAACUGGGAAACUUGAGUGCAGAAGAGGAGAGUGGAAUUCCACGUGUAGCGGUGAAAUGCGUAGAGAUGUGGAGGAACACCAGUGGCGAAGGCGACUCUCUGGUCUGUAACUGACGCUGAGGAGC
RNAcentral lists this ribosomal RNA (719 nucleotides) under Bacillus pumilus. Its description in RNAcentral is "bacterial SSU rRNA". It matches the Rfam family "Bacterial small subunit ribosomal RNA", at positions 53 to 754 of the family's 1533-position model. The record is from RNAcentral. Lineage: Bacteria; Bacillati; Bacillota; Bacilli; Caryophanales; Bacillaceae.